Molecule: unclassified non-coding RNA, 780 nt
Filed under: Hevea brasiliensis (rubber tree)
Lineage: Eukaryota; Viridiplantae; Streptophyta; Magnoliopsida; Malpighiales; Euphorbiaceae
Source: RNAcentral
UUCAGCUACUUUACCAGAAUCCUCCACUCUGGAGGAAGUAUCGAUGAUAGUAACAGGGAUUCGAUCAGGAUAGAAAUCCUCAGGCAGCCUGGUGGGCGGGAGAACCGGCGGAACAUUAACCGGAAAAUUGUCAGUGGCGGCUGUGACCAUCAAGCUCGACUUCCCGGUGCCACGGUCUCCAGCUACCACGAUACGGACUCCACUCUUACUGCCCAGGCUAGUAGUUCCAGUUGCAACUUUCGCCAUAUAUAAAUUAUAAAUAAAAACACUGCAAAUCGAAAUCAAGAACCCUCACCGAUCAAAACCAAUAUAUACAGAAGCUCACACGCAUAGAUGCAAAGAAGAGUGGCAAAAAGGCGUAAAUAACCUGGGGAAGGAGGGUUAAUACUGUGAUUUUGAGGGAUAAAUUGAGAGGUACGAAACUGGAAUAAUAACAAUCACAGAAAAAAAAUCUCUAACCAGAUGAAGAGGUUGACAUUAGGGAUUAGGUGCAGUGGCAAAAACGUAAAAUACCCACUACUUGUUCUCAGUAGAAGUUUCUAGAUUGGGGCCAUUGGAAAAAAAAUAGUGAAUAUGGAGAUUUGUACCUUGUAGAUAGCAGUUCAGAAAAGGAUUUAGAGAGAGGCCACCAAAAACCCUAGUUUGCGGCGUUAGUGGCGGUGGUGGUGGCAGUGGUGGUGGCUAUGGAGUCUUGGACAAGAAGAAUAUGAGCAGCUAUGCAGGUUCAGGAGAAAACUAAAAAAAUAUAACAAUAAAAUCGAAAUUCUUGCGUGGAUUUUC